RNAcentral lists this transfer RNA (72 nucleotides) under Anaerolineaceae bacterium. Its description in RNAcentral is "tRNA-Arg". It matches the Rfam family "tRNA". Rfam says of the family: Transfer RNA (tRNA) molecules are approximately 80 nucleotides in length. RNAcentral also lists the same sequence under 1 other name. The record is from RNAcentral. Lineage: Bacteria; Bacillati; Chloroflexota; Anaerolineae; Anaerolineales; Anaerolineaceae.
GCCCUUGUAGCUCAGAGGAUAGAGCAUUGGCCUCCGAAGCCAUGAGCCCAGGUUCGAGUCCUGGCAAGGGCA